RNAcentral lists this transfer RNA (113 nucleotides) under Diplodia seriata. RNAcentral describes it as "tRNA-Asn". It matches the Rfam family "tRNA". Rfam says of the family: Transfer RNA (tRNA) molecules are approximately 80 nucleotides in length. Their secondary structure includes four short double-helical elements and three loops (D, anti-codon, and T loops). The record is from RNAcentral. Lineage: Eukaryota; Fungi; Ascomycota; Dothideomycetes; Botryosphaeriales; Botryosphaeriaceae.
UCCUCCGUGGCGCAAUUGGCUAGCGCGUCUGACUGUUACAUGGUCUCGAAGCCGUCCAGGUACUCGAAAUCGUUGCAAUCAGGAGGUUGACAGUUCAAGCCUGUCCGGGGGAG